Molecule: transfer RNA, 69 nt
Filed under: Hylomys suillus microtinus
Lineage: Eukaryota; Metazoa; Chordata; Mammalia; Eulipotyphla; Erinaceidae
Also listed under: 1 other name
Description: tRNA-Thr
Rfam family: tRNA
About the family: Transfer RNA (tRNA) molecules are approximately 80 nucleotides in length. Their secondary structure includes four short double-helical elements and three loops (D, anti-codon, and T loops). Further hydrogen bonds mediate the characteristic L-shaped molecular structure. tRNAs have two regions of fundamental functional importance: the anti-codon, which is responsible for specific mRNA codon recognition, and the 3' end, to which the tRNAs corresponding amino acid is attached (by aminoacyl-tRNA synthetases). tRNAs cope with the degeneracy of the genetic code in two manners: having more than one tRNA (with a specific anti-codon) for a particular amino acid; and 'wobble' base-pairing, i.e. permitting non-standard base-pairing at the 3rd anti-codon position.
Source: RNAcentral
GUCUUAGUAGUAUAAACUCAAUACUUUGGUCUUGUAAACCAAAAAUGGGGAUGAUUUCCCCCAAAGAUA